Molecule: non-coding RNA, 683 nt
Organism: Mauremys reevesii (Reeves's turtle)
Lineage: Eukaryota; Metazoa; Chordata; Testudines; Geoemydidae
Source: the annotation of a RefSeq genome assembly
UUUGGGGAUUGGAGGAGCAAGGGCAGCAAAAGAAAGGAAUAAUAUGACUUCUGCUUGGACAGGAAGAGGGAAAGGGACUUGAAGAGAGUUUAGGGAAGGGAGUGGGAUAGAAAGAAAGCCAGGUAAAAGGAGAGAGGGAGACACAUGGAAGGCAGUUAGCAAGGUACAGAGUCAGGGAUUGGAAGGUAGGGUAUAAGUAGGAAACAUGUGGGAGGAGAACUAAAAGGAUGGUAUCAGAGCAGACUCUGCGAUCAGUGAGUUUGCAGGGCAGGAAGAUGCCGGAGCGGCUGUGGCUGCUUCUCACCCUCCUGACCCUCCCGCACUACGGGCGCUCUCAGACUCUCCACCAGACCCCCAGCUUCAUUUCUCUGCCCCCCGGCUCCUCUGUCCAGCUGCACUGCUACCUGCAGGGAUACAAUGCAGAGCCCUACAUGUACUGGUACCGGCAGCCUCCCCAGGGAGGAGCCCUGCACAUGCUCUUUCUCUCCAGAAUCAAGGGUUCGAUUGACGACAGUUCGGAGAAACACUUUAAAGCUGCCCGACCGACCCAGCAGAACUUCACGCUGAGCACAGACAGCCUCUUCCCCAACCACACGGGGCUCUAUUACUGCGCCUGGAGCCACACACUGAGCCAAGCGGGUGCAGCCCCUGGACAAAAACUCCCCCUCCCCCUGUCCCUGUGA